This 248-nucleotide ribosomal RNA is filed under the name uncultured bacterium. RNAcentral's name for it is "partial 16S ribosomal RNA". It matches the Rfam family "Bacterial small subunit ribosomal RNA", at positions 335 to 600 of the family's 1533-position model. The record is from RNAcentral.
CUACCUACGGGAGGCAGCAGUGGGGGAUAUUGCACAAUGGGGGGAACCCUGAUGCAGCGACGCCGCGUGGGUGAAGGAGCGUUUCGGCGCGUAAAGCCCUAUCGGCAGGGAAGAAGAUGACGGUACCUGACCAAGAAGCCCCGGCUAACUACGUGCCAGCAGCCGCGGUAAUACGUAGGUGGCAAGCGUUAUCCGGAUUUACUGGGUGUAAAGGGCGGGUAGGCGGGAAAGCAAGUCAGAUGUGAAAA